UUUUGCCUACGGGAGGCAGCAGUGGGGAAUAUUGCACAAUGGGCGAAAGCCUGAUGCAGCAACGCCGCGUGAAGGAAGACGGUUUUCGGAUUGUAAACUUCUAUCAAUAGGGAAGAAAGAAAUGACGGUACCUAAAUAAGAAGCCCCGGCUAACUACGUGCCAGCAGCCGCGGUAAUACGUAGGGGGCAAGCGUUAUCCGGAAUUACUGGGUGUAAAGGGAGAGUAGGCGGCAAGGUAAGCGAUAUGUGAAAGCCUUAAGCUUAACUUAAGGAUGGCAUAACGAACUAUCUAGCUAGAGUACAGG
RNAcentral lists this ribosomal RNA (305 nucleotides) under uncultured bacterium. RNAcentral's name for it is "bacterial SSU rRNA". It matches the Rfam family "Bacterial small subunit ribosomal RNA", at positions 333 to 652 of the family's 1533-position model. The record is from RNAcentral.